UCACUUACCUCAGUUGAGGGUCACGGUGUUGUAGUAGUAUGCUUCAUCUCAGGUCUUUUGUAAUUGAAGCAGCCACAGAUGAUGUCACCUAAACACAGGACUUCCAUUCAGAAGUUGUUUUGCUGCUCCCGUACACGACCGGGUGGACCAGCCGCAUCGCCAUAACUCUAAUAAAUGGACUGGAUAUGGUGAGCUGAGAGCAUACUUGGCCCCUGCUGAGGAGAUUGGCAGGUGUUUGAUAUUCACUGAAGUCUGCCCCACCCCCCUGCAUCUCUGUCUCUCAGUCCCUUCAAAAGGCACAUCUGAGUCUAAAUUAUAGACUACGAGACUUGGAACACGUUGGGAACAACGGAUGAGUCAUCUUGGACAGACAGUGACAGAGGUGACUACCUCUAACCUAUCCACUCAUGAGAUUAAUGACCUAUCAGCCUAUUUAUUGACACAAACAAAGUGACUCCUCUUUACUUAUGCCAAGGGUCUCUCUUUCGCUUUUCAUCCCUGUGUAAUGUCUCUCGCUCUGUCACUCUGCCCCCCUCACUCACUGUUGUGGUGGCCAAGGUUAGAGAGGCGCAAUGAGAAAGGGCGGGGAGUCGGAAAAGAGGGAGAGUGGGGGUCUAAACAAAUCUCUGUCCUGCCAGGACGUCCUCUUGCCAAGGUUUGUUGAGGGCUGGAAGGGAUGAAGGAAGGCGGGGCUGCUGGGUGGGGAGGGUGGUGUGGAGGUAGGGGGUGAUGGGGAAUGACGUGAUCCCCUUUAUCCUAGCCAAUAAAACAGAGUGGCCGGUGAGAUCCGGAUCCGUACGUGCCGUCAAAUUCAAUAAGGUAGUGCUUUAAUGUUUUCUUUUAAUCAACCAAAUUGCAUUACACACUGCCUGCUCCGCGGCGCAGAGGAAGGGGGGAAAAGAACAGUCAGUGCUGCGGGGAUGAGUACGGUUGGUUUGGGGUUGUGCUGGAAUCACCAAGGGGGGCAUUCCCAAUAUCUACAACGAUUUUAUCGCAUGUGUGUCAACGUUUUUCUACUGUACAGGCCCAUAGAAAAAUUGCUCCGCCUCCGGUUCCCCUUCAGUGAGAGGAAGCAGGGGCCGGUGUGAAUUCAGGGUCAGACUGGGGACAGACAAGGUGUACAGACAGACUACGUCAUUCUGGUAAUGAAUUCCAGCUCAACUUUUAGAGCAUAAGCCGCUUUAAAGGCAGAGCGCACUCCUCCCUGCUGGACGAUGGUGUCUCUUAUCAUGAGCAAUGCCCUCUGCAGUGCCUUCCUCCAGCACUCCAGCAACUUCCUCCUCCUCAUUCUCUUCUACUUUAACCCCCCCCAAACACACACACACACACGCCUUAUAUGACUCACUCUUUAGUGAAGGUACAUCAGGACUGCUCUUCUAAACACUUCAUCAUCAAAACCCCUUUUUCUUCUCCAAGGCUGGAAGGAAGAACGCAGCACCCAGCGGGACAGAGAGGGAUUGUAUGUCUGCAUCAUGUACUGUAGUAAUCACCAGUCGCCGGAUCAGCUUGCUGCCCAGGUCCACUAGAGUUACUGGGAUUUUAAUUCUGACUGGGGUUUUACAGUUGGAUGUUUCAUUCCACCUUGAAUCAGGCACUGCUGUUGUGGCCCGAAGGAUUACAGCCUGCUGCCGCUGUCGGCCGUUCAUCCGUGGACAGAUGAAACUUCACAGAGAGCAGUAAUCCACCGAAGAAGGGUAGCUUUGCUGCUCAGCUGCCUCAGCCACAACUUUAGAGCCAGCUGACAUUUAACAUAAUGAUCAGUCAGAGUGGCCGAGCGUUUACACACGGGAAAGGUUUCCCGGACACAAUUAGACCACAGUCCUCGCAUGGGCUAAAAAUGAAUCACAAUACACAAUACCAUAGUGUAGUCCCUCUAUCCAUCUAAUGGUAAACUGUGAGUGGAGUGACUGGAAGAAAAGCCUCAGUCUCAGCUGUGAUAUUACGGUGGUUUAUCCACAAAGCUUGAAAAGAUGACCACAGUUACAAUCUACUGCACAGUGUAUAGUCUAGGAAACAGGCUGCAUUUUGGUUUUUGCAAUCCAUCCUGGUAUGAGUCAUUUACGGUAUGCUAUUAGACAGAGGGGUUACCCAAGUUUUCCAAUGCUAGAACAACACAGCGAUUUCAACAAUGAAACCCUCACUACAUCUUAUAAAUGUUAAAGAAACAAUUAAACAUUUUAAUAAUGUUAUUUUA
Long non-coding RNA from Micropterus salmoides (largemouth bass), 2194 nucleotides. RefSeq lists it as uncharacterized. The record is from RefSeq and is a predicted model, not a curated record. The transcript is spliced from 2 exons. NCBI's taxonomy places the organism in Eukaryota, Metazoa, Chordata, Actinopteri, Centrarchiformes, Centrarchidae.